GGAGGUGCAUGAGGCAGAGUGAGGGGCACUGCAGUACAGCAGGGACUGAAUUCCUUUCCCAAGUGCCCCAGAAGCAGGAAUUGGGGAAUUCCUGCACAGAGAUUUGGGGGAGCAACCAGACCCCUCAUUUUCUCUUUGUUCUGCCCUUCUCUUCCCACUGUGGGAUCUGUUUGAAACUGGCCCUGGGGGUUGGGAAGGGGAUGGGGGGUGACUCAUUAACCUCCCCCGCAUCUAUUCAGCCCCUUGCCCCAAAGUGACGGAGAGGCUCUAAGUGUAAAGUGGCGUGGAUGUGACCACACUCACACCAGUCAUUACACAGUAAAGACUUGUGAGGUGAGGCAGCUGUCUGGUCUGUGAGAGGCCUGGGGAUGCCCCCCAUCCCUCAAUCCAUCUAUCUCCCAUCUGGUCUGUCAGAGGCCAACAUGACCCCCAGGAACUGUGAAAUUGGAACAAUACUCUUUGGACUUAACGGAUGCAAUCAUUUGAUAUUUGGAAUGAAACCAUAGAAGGGGGUCAGGUUGCCGUAGGGCUAGAGGAGAGUCCAUCGGCUCAGAGACCCAUUAGAACAUCCCAUUCAGUCCCCUCUCAUUUACAAAUGCAGGUUAUAAAGUUAUGCUAAAAAUUUCAUCCCAGUGGGCCCUCACAAGUCUUCUACACUCAGGGUAUGCCUUUCCCCACACUUGCAAUGCAGUCACUUCUGGGGAGGGGCAUAGCAGCACUUUAACAGCAUACAGCAAGGCUAGACAGCCGUUGAAAGACAUCAACUGAAACUGCAGGGGGCUUUUGAUUGACGCAGUGGGAUUAGCAGAGUUAGAACUUGGCUGGGACAAGAGAUUUCACAACCUGCCUUCUGGGGAAAGUGCCAUGGGAUCCCUGUCUGCAGCAGCUGCACCCCGGGGACUGCUUCAGAGGGAACGAGCACCCUCUACUGAAUCACCUCACCAUUUUCUCCUGGAGCGCAGGCUGGGUGUGAGUUGGCCCUGUCCUGCUCAGCUUGGAGAGCUGAGGGCAGAUCACAACCUGAGUUGAAAUGGCUGCUUCAAAAAUAAGCUUGUUCUGGCUUCAUGCUGUUGGUACCAGGAAAUCUGCCCCCUGCCUUUCUCACCUGGAGCCAGUCACGUGCAGGGCUGAUGAACACGUGGCUCUUCAACGACCAUCCAGUCAGAUAAAAGAAACACGGCUCAUCAUGGGCAGAGUCUGGCUGGGAGGCAGAGGAGCAUCCUGGUAGCAAAUGCCCGAGCUGCCAACUUCCCAGGUUCCCCAGAGAAGAGAGCAUAAGGGAUUAAUAACGUCACAGCGCCCCCCUUCCCAUUGGGCCCUGAUCCUGCAACGAGCCCCUGCACAGCUCAUCACAAGAUGGGGUCUUCGUUUCCUGGAGCUUGGAGAAAGCCGAGGCCCAGGGGCUGCACCGUUGACAGGAGGCCACUAGAGGGAGCUGCAGAUUCAGCCAAGACGCACCUGGUCCCAGCACCGGCACCGGGCUGCAGGUAACCAGGCCAAGGGGCAGGAUGGGGCCGUGCUGUCUGGGAAGCAGCUCCCAGCAGGGACCGGCAACGCUCCAUGAACCCGGCUGGCAGCCCGAGCUUGCGGGGGGAUAAAUGCCACUGAACCCCCGCCCCACCAUCUCACUAGGGCUGCCCCAGUUCCUGCCCAGACAGGCUCCUUCCUGCCAUGCUGUGGGCCCCAGGCCUUCAGCCCGCAGGGGAGAGCCCCCCCAUUGGUGAGCCCCAUAAGCAAAGGGCUCUCAGCCCAGCUGGAGCAAUUCAUGGACCAGUGGAAGGAGACAUCCUGUCUGCAGCUGAGAGCACUGGGGGUUGUAAUGGGCUUGGCACUGCCCUGCUUCCCUUCCAGCCAGAGGCACCCCACACUCCCACCCUCGCACCUAACUCAGCAUUGGGGCACAGUGCCCCCCGCUGGUGAGAGUGCCGCUCACUCACCAGCCUCACAAAAUCGUAG
Long non-coding RNA from Caretta caretta (loggerhead turtle), 1956 nucleotides. RefSeq lists it as uncharacterized. Lineage: Eukaryota; Metazoa; Chordata; Testudines; Cheloniidae. The record is from RefSeq and is a predicted model, not a curated record.